Molecule: long non-coding RNA, 5057 nt
Organism: Micropterus dolomieu (smallmouth bass)
Lineage: Eukaryota; Metazoa; Chordata; Actinopteri; Centrarchiformes; Centrarchidae
Exons: 2
Source: RefSeq, a predicted model, not a curated record
AUAUAACAUGUGUACCUUAAAAGUAAAUGGACACGUAAUUUACUUUACCUGGCCCUCUCGGGCCUCGGACCCACCCAGCAUAGUCUAUCCAAAUCCAGUAGGAAACACUGAGUAAAAAGCACAUUUUGACUAUUUAAUUUAUGCAAUGGAAAGUAAUUUGGCAAAAUAAAUGGACAAAAUGUCAAUGUACAUGUUCAGUGUUUGGCAAAUUUUUUCAUUAUAUUCGGCUUAGGCCAAGAAUUUUAAUUUUGGUGCACCCCUAACUCAAACAAUAGAUAUUGUUAUAUUGCACAGCCCUACUUGGUAUAUUACUAACAUAUUAACUCUUGCCUCCUGGAAGUAGGUCAUAAUUGCAAGUCAUAGGCAGUUAUCCAAUUUCAUUUCAUUUUCACAUUUGAGGGCGAGAAGUAUUCAGCGUUGCACACUCUACUUGUUAAGUCCACCAUCCAGGUACUCACUGCACUGCAUUUUGCCAUACUUGUCAGUGUGAACGCACUUGAAUACUGAAAAUAUCAAGUGUGAUUACAGAAGGGUGUGAAUUGGUACACAGGUACAGCUUAAUCCAUUCUUUACAGUUUUGCCAUUGGGUUUGUGGUGUGGGGGAAAAAAAUGGCAUGGCCCCCUAGACUCUGCAUAAUGCUUCAACAUGUGAAGAAAUCCAAAGCUUGACAGGAGUUUAGCAAACAGUCAGUACAUGAUUCAUUUGUUGUGUGUUUGUCCAGCAUUGACAACAAGUGGUUAAGGUGUUGUUUGGUCCCUACAGCAACCAAAUGUCCCAGAGCAAAAACACCUGAAUCCCUGUCUGACUGCAUCAGCUUAAAUAUAAUUCAUGUAAAAUCUAAAUGUCGUCCAACAGACCGGGGAAACGGAAUAAUCACUUGGAAGCUGCUAUCCACGAGGCCAUGAGUGAGCUGGAUAAAAUGUCGGGCACAAUCCCGUCGAGGGAUCGUCAGGUGAAGCUCCCCAAGCCCAAGAGGAGGAAGAUAUCCAGAUAACAUUGAAUGUGUCGGCCCAAGAACGUCCUCAAAGCCUUCGGAGACUUCGUCCGUACAGCCUUGAUGCGAUCUGAGCUCUCUAACAGGUGCUACACAUGGACUUUCAGUGGUACAUCUAUGUUCCAUGAUAUCAACUUGACUUGAUGACUGACCACAGAAGGUGCUGGAAACUCCAAUCACCCAAUACAGUUUUAACUGUAGAAACUAAAUAGAGAAAAACGUCAAAAACGGUUGCAAUUUGUCUACAGCUCACUGAAUUAACUAUUUUUUUGUAGUAUAAGAUAGUAAAACAGACAAAAAAGCUACAAGCAUUACCUUACAUAUUUAAGAAAAAUAGACAGUCCAAAUAUUUCUGAUACAUUUUCAAUAUGUAUAUAGAUAAUCCUGAAAUUUCAUGCUAUUGAGAAUUGUAUGUAAAUAUUGUACAAUGUCAUGUACAAGCAUACCUAAUGCACAUUUUAUCUUUUAUUGUACAAAAACAAAGCAGAAGUACCAAUGUCUUGGUUUCUAUUCAGAACUGCGGUUGCAUACGGCCGCAUGCAUAGGAUAAAUAUGAAUACAGCCUAAAGCUUUUAUAUGACGAACUGUAAGACUUGCUGUUUUUUUGUUGUUGUUUUUUUGUGUAAGGGAACAGCAGCGGAACAGGCAUGAGUAUAUGAGUUCUCCAUUACGAAAGUCACUUCACACCAGUUAAGUGUUAUUUUGUAAUGGGGGGAAAAAAAGAAAAAAAAACAGAAUGAACUUUACCAGCAAAAAGUGUUCAAUGGUCCCCUAAGCAGGGUGGGAAAUGACCACCAGCCGGAUGAAUGUUGGUAAAUCUUCAUCUGCAUUUCACCACUCACUCUGACAGGAAAAUCAUGAUAUUUGGAUCCAGUUUUGUGCUAAAAAAGUCUCUUUUUUGGGGGGGUUACCAAUCAUUGUAACUGGCAGACAUAAGAUAGUUCUGCCGUUUUUAUGAAGGAAAAAUCCACUUCAGGCACUUUCACAUUGUUCAGGGUCAUUUUGUGAUGUUCCUUUGCAUUUCAGGAGUUUUACAAAAAAAAGUAUAGUAAAGAUUUAAAUUUUUUAGUGAAUCAACACUUAGUGAGUCCCAAGAUUUUCCAGAAUGACUUUCUACAACUCCCAAUGAAGGCUCCGGAGUGCCCGAUGGUAGAGCUGAAAUGAUUUUCUUUUGGCAUUUCAUAGACUAAAUUGACCAUUUCAUCGGCACAUUAAUCGAUAAUUUGUAGCUGUUUCUAUCAGUAUGUUUCCAUGAACUGUAGUAACAUGGUUACUGUAAAGCUACAUAUACAUGCGGCAGGUUCAGUAGUCAAACUUCCAUGUUUCUUGUUAACAUGAUGUUUAAGAAAUAUGCGUAUUGGAGAAAUCUAACUUGUGUACUUCAGUGCAUGUAAACACACAAUGUUCAGUAAGCCCAUCACUAGAAAUUUAUGUCUUGUGGCUACAAUGCAUUCUGGUGUAUUACCUGCUCUUCGGGGUGUGGAAACUGGUGUCAGUAUCUCAUCUAUGGCGGUUUUCUGUCUAUCAGCCUUUUUAAAAUAAGGCCUAUAAACUUAACAUGGUGUCAUGUUAACAUUUGGCAAGUUAUUAAACACUGAGCACAGUAGGUGGACCCUGUAUGCAACAUUAAAUCACUCUAAAAGAGUGUUUUUGGGUGGAUUUUUCCUUCAACUACAAAAAUCACAAGAAUACAGGCUACAUUGAUGCCAUUUGGUUGUUGUGAUUAUGUUCUUGUGCUCGUUUGUACAGUGAUUUUUCCAUGACUGUAGUCGUUUUUUGCCACAGCUAUAGCUUUAGGUAGAGUAACCAACCUCAGAGACGGAGUCUAGAUUGUCAUGAGGAACACGAACUCGGUUUUCAAGAGCAGUGAAAGCAUUUCUCGCAUUUAGGGGCCUUGUGUCUUGUUUUUUUUUUUUGUUUUGUUUUUGCUUAUUGAUGUAAAUUAUUUAUGUACAGUACUCCAUAUUUAUUUUAAGCUUUACAAAUAUGAUAGACGGCAAUAAUACUACCAAGAGUUGAGAACUCAAGCCUUAUGUGUGUAUAUGUAUGUUUUUUUUUUUUUGUUUCUGUUUUUUUAACAGAACAUGUAUUCAGAGUCCGUUACAAAUGUCAUGUUACCUCUUAUUUAAGAAGUGAGCAGUACAGACACACACGGCGAGGCAUUCUGGUCUACUUACUUUUGUUACAGAUUGUGUCAUGGAUUUCUUAGUUAAAGGAAAAAAAUGUAGUAACGUCUGCCUACAAGACCAUACUAUUUAUGAAUAUGCACACGCGGAAAGGCAGACAGCGUUUAUGUUUUCAGUUUUAACACUACUAGCUAUCAGCUGCAAAGCUAAAAAAUCAUCACUUGAUCAGUCUUAAAAUAGAUAGUGAUGCACAGUAUUGGGAACUGGAUCAACUCGUGUGAAACACACACACACAGCUGCUCUUCCAGAUCAAAAUCAACCGACAACAACUUGAAAUCACUACAGAAUUAUCAAGUGCAAUAUAGAAAUCAAUGGCAAAGAUCAACAGCUUUUGAAACACUGCAUCUCUGAUUGUUUAAAGCCUUUUCUUUUGUACACACACUUCAACAACUUUGACUGUAAUUUGUUGCCUGUUUUCAAAAUGUUGACCUCUCCUCUGAUAUGCACAUGCUCAAAUAAUCUGUCACUUUUUUGUUUUGUUGGUAACAACAUUCAUCUUUUUUCAGAUGUCCUGACCUAAGAGCCAUGAAGUAGUAAUUUAUUAGUAGCUUUACGUUUUACAUGUACACACACAACUGUUAACUCCCAGGCUCAAAUUUCAUUUGAAUUGAGUUUGUACUGAGUUAAUCCACCCAUAUCAAAAUAUCUGAUGCACACACUAAACCUCCAGAUAUAAAGAUUUACUAAAAUGCCAUUAAAAACCCCAACUAUUACAAGUGUUUCUGAUGGAUAACCUCAAAACCAAAUAGUACACUACUUUUCUUUCUCACUCAGUAAAACAUGAAAGCACUACUAUUAAAACAUAUCCACAACUUGUGCACACAUGUUUUAUAACCCCAGAGGAGGCGUGGAGCCCACAAAUGUACUUAGUUUUAUAAUAUACUCCUAUAUCCUAAAUGAGUCAAAGUAUGAAUUACAGUCAAGUAAUAACAGAUCUUAAUUUGUUCUUCUUACCUUAAACUUAAAAAAAGUGGUACUGUAUUUUCUAAUGAGAGCUUAUUUCAAAACAUUUCUCCCCCCUUUCGUCGCGUGCACCCUGAAAAACUCGAGGACAUUUUGAAAAGUCCUCAAAUUUGUUUCCAAUUUCCAAAAAUCAGGCAGUACCUGUGUUAAAAUGUCUGCUUGGAAACACUGAACAGCUAAAGAACUUGUUGAAAAUAUCCAUCCUUUUCAAAAUGUCCCUUUUUUUCCCCAGUGUACACACUUCUAAGAACCUCCAGAGUUUUUACUGUAAUCUGUGGCAUGGAUAUCCUCCGGCCAUUUUCAAAAUGUGACGUUCAGUGUCGAGAACACAAGCUCUUUCGGUAAAGUUCAUUCUGCCUCACCCACUCCACACCCUCGUUUUUUGUGCAAUGACAUGCAGGAACCCAGUCUCAUGUUGGGAACCCAUGUAUUAUGGAUCUGUUCUAUCAGUUUUAUGUUAUUUGUGGUCAAUAGUUAAAAGCAUUUUUGUGUUUGAGAUGGUCUGUGCAGUCUAUUUUUUCCUCCUCCCCCAUGUGAUUGUGUGUGCGUGCUUGCGUAUGUGUGAGAAUUUUUUUUGUGUCCUUUUUCCCUCUUCGACCCUUUCGUUGUCAGUAUUUUAUUUUUUCAACUUGUAAUUAAGUAUAUAUUUUGUCACUAAUAUAUACUUUACAAAAAUAGACUUGCGUGAAGUAUGAUGUGCACUUGAUUGCUCUUGUUUCUUUUUGAUUUAAUGUGGGCUAGGGAUAGUUUGUCAAGAGUCCAUUAUUUUGAGAUUGUUUGGACUUUUUUUAAUGGUUUGAUGUAAGCAGCAUUUUUUUGUAAAUAUUGUGAAACAUUACAGGUCAUGCAGUGAUGUAACAUUUUGAACAAUGUUGCACAGAUGUUUAAGAUAUUAAAAACAUGGUCACUCUUA